AUUGAACGCUGGCGGCAGGCCUAACACAUGCAAGUCGAACGGUAACAGGAAGCAGCUUGCUGCUUUGCUGACGAGUGGCGGACGGGUGAGUAAUGUCUGGGAAACUGCCUGAUGGAGGGGGAUAACUACUGGAAACGGUAGCUAAUACCGCAUAACGUCGCAAGACCAAAGAGGGGGACCUUCGGGCCUCUUGCCAUCGGAUGUGCCCAGAUGGGAUUAGCUAGUAGGUGGGGUAACGGCUCACCUAGGCGACGAUCCCUAGCUGGUCUGAGAGGUUGACCAGCCACACUGGAACUGAGACACGGUCCAGACUCCUACGGGAGGCAGCAGUGGGGAAUAUUGCACAAUGGGCGCAAGCCUGAUGCAGCCAUGCCGCGUGUAUGAAGAAGGCCUUCGGGUUGUAAAGUACUUUCAGCGGGGAGGAAGGGAGUAAAGUUAAUACCUUUGCUCAUUGACGUUACCCGCAGAAGAAGCACCGGCUAACUCCGUG
Molecule: ribosomal RNA, 490 nt
Filed under: uncultured bacterium
Lineage: Bacteria
Description: partial 16S ribosomal RNA
Rfam family: Bacterial small subunit ribosomal RNA
Source: RNAcentral